AUGUUCUUACGAAUUUGUGGCGUACUUGUUUGUAAGUGGAGGCAGGUACAAAAACACAUGAAAACAACUAUGUUUUAUUGAGAUUGCAGCAUGGAGUUGUUUAACGGUGGCAUGGCGGGAGCGUAGGAAUCACGAUAUCGAUAAGCCAAUCUUUACAGUUUUACUUUUAGAAAGUUUUCAGCAACAACUUGAUGUGAAAGGUUUAGAUAUUAGUUGAGACUUUACGAGGUGCAUGUUAACCUAAGUGAUGAUUUUACUAAAAUUUCAAACCUCUCCUUGAG
This is a long non-coding RNA of Arabidopsis thaliana (thale cress), 281 nucleotides long. RefSeq annotates it as other RNA. NCBI's taxonomy places the organism in Eukaryota, Viridiplantae, Streptophyta, Magnoliopsida, Brassicales, Brassicaceae. The record is from RefSeq. The transcript has a single exon.